GACGUAGGGGGCCAGCGUUGUUCGGAAUUACUGGGUGUAAAGGGUUCGUAGGCGGUGUGGCAAGUCGGGAGUGAAAUCUCUGGGCUCAACCCAGAGUCUGCUUCCGAAACUGCUGUGCUUGAGUGUGGGAGAGGCGCGUGGAAUUGCAGGUGUAGCGGUGAAAUGCGUAGAUAUCUGCAGGAACACCCGUGGCGAAAGCGGCGCGCUGGACCACUACUGACGCUGAGGAACGAAAGCUAGGGGAGCGAACGGG
This 253-nucleotide ribosomal RNA is filed under the name uncultured bacterium. RNAcentral describes it as "partial 16S ribosomal RNA". It matches the Rfam family "Bacterial small subunit ribosomal RNA", at positions 524 to 776 of the family's 1533-position model. The record is from RNAcentral.